GCGGACCCCCGUGCCUAGGCGCUCCUGUGCCUCCAGUGCGCGGAGCCGGCCUCGCUCGGGCGUGUUCCUGCGCCGACCGGACGGCCGGACUCCAGCACCUUGGCCCGGCCCGCGAACGCUGAGCACGCGCGGAAACCCUUUAAAGAUAGGAAGUGAAAUCAAAUGGAGGUUGGUGAGUACCCCACGGCAACCAUUGCUUCGUUUCAUGGUUCAGAGUGAACUCUAAUCUGGAAGCCUUCCUUAGGUCAUUCCUGCUUCUGGGAUCCAACUCUAUGUUGUGCUUAAGAAAUGUGUCACAUCAGACAGAGUGAAUCACAAGACAGAGAUAUUUACCUAUCACAUAAAUAUUUUAUUAGAUUUCAAGAAUGAAGAGGAACAGUUUAUCUGUUGAGAAUAAAAUUGUCCAGUUGUCAGGAGCAGCGAAACAGCCAAAAGUUGGGUUCUACUCUUCUCUCAACCAGACUCAUACACACACGGUUCUUCUAGACUGGGGGAGUUUGCCUCACCAUGUAGUAUUACAAAUUUUUCAGUAACUUCCUUUACUAGAUCGGGCCUGUGCAUCUUCUGUAUGUAGGAGGUGGAAUGAAGUUUUUCAUAUUUCUGACCUUUGG
This 611-nucleotide long non-coding RNA is filed under the name Homo sapiens (human). RNAcentral's name for it is "novel transcript". Lineage: Eukaryota; Metazoa; Chordata; Mammalia; Primates; Hominidae. The record is from RNAcentral.